CCAUGAUGGUACUGUUAUGCUUGAGCCAUCCAUCUGUGCAUUCCCUUUGCUGACCCGAGAAAGCACCUGCUUCACCCUCUGUGGCCUUUGUGACCAUGGGAGCAAGUCUGACACUUGUGGUGCAGUGUUGCAGCUUUGCCCUUCACCUAUUCUUUCCACUACACAGGGCUACCUGGAAAACCACUUCAGACACAAAUAUUGUGUCUUCUGUCUGGCUCAGCUGCACAGAGCCUCACAAGAGUAACAGGACUGUUGAAUGAAUGACAUUCAGCUUGGCUGCAGAGGGAUGGGACUUCAAACACUUCGAACCUUUCAAAACAUCUGCCUCAACUUGUAAGGAUUCUUCUCUGAUCUCCAUCAGGUACUUUCAGACUACAGUGGAACAUCUCACAUCCCUGAUAGACUUUACUUUGUGGUCUGUUGGCAAAUGUCAAGACAGCUUGGAGGAAUCAAUCCCUGGCAGUGGGGAUAUCUGGGCCUCUUGGCAAAUCACAGUGCUGUGCCUGCAAUGCCAUUAGCAUGGAACUGUUGCAGUGGGAAGGGACCUUUGGAGGUUUAUGGUCCAGCCUCCUUUUCAAAGCUGGAUCAAGACUGAAUUCAUGCCAAGUUUCUAAGGGCUUCAGCUAGUCAGUCUUUGAAAGUCUCUAAGGAUGGAGACUGUACAGCCUCACUGGGAAACCUGUUCCAAGAUUUGAAUAUUUUAACUAUAGAGAGAAGUUCUCUCUUUUCAGAACCUUCCUUUGUUCAACUUCAGCCUGCUGUGCCUUGGCCUUCCACUGUGCACCACACUGGUAGACCAGCUCUGUGGUGUUGCUUGGUAGGGGCAGGCUUCCAUCAGGUCCCCUCAAAGUCAUCUCCAGGCCAAACAAGGCCUGGUCCAUCAGCAUCUUCUCACAGGCAAAGUACUCCAGCUCUGAACAUUUUCCAGUUCAUUAAUGCAUUUCCUCUACUGGGGGUCCAAAACUGGAUGCAGUAUCUAGACGUGGUCCCAAAAGUGUUUAACAGAGAGGUUUAUUCCCUGUCCUCAAUUUCCUGACCAUGUUUCUGUUGACAUCUACUGGUAUGUUGAUACUCCGUUUGAACAGAAGUCUGAAAUACUCCAUAAGACAUCUUACAAUGUCUUAUUUUGUAUUUUUUUUUCUAUAUCUGUGUGCUAUCCGGUUCAUUUGUAUGUGUUUGUUGUUGUUGUUGUUGUUGUUGCUAUUGUCCAUUUGUUUUGUUUUUAUUGUAAACCAAAACAGCAUGCUAUUAUUUUGCCAUUAAUCCAAACCACAACUUUAAAUCAAACCAUACUCUUGAAAAAAAACAGUUGAUCUCACCCUCUUCUGAGGUAAAAGACAUCCUGUAGUUCAGUUUAACAUACGCAGCCAUUGUCUGAUCAGAAGGUGAUGCUAUUACAGAUAGCUUAUGGGAAUAACAUAGAAAGAAGAGCUCAUACAACAGUGUGAUAACUUUGUAUGAUAUAUUUCACCCCUAAGCAUCUCGAAGAGCUUUACAAAUUGAUUUAUAUUCUACACACAAGGAUAAUUUAUUUCAUCCAUACAUUUUUAUUAGCUGUGCAGCAACAUCUCAGUUUAGGACAGGAAUUAAAGGCCAUAUCAAAUCCAAAAUGCAAGGUGAACAUACUUAUAAAGAAUCUCUCACAGAGUUCACUUCAAACUGCUUUCUUUCAAUGCUGCACCACCAGUAAGGCAUAAUUCCUGAAAUAUUAGGCUAUUGAAGGAUUUACUGUCCAGAUGUGAAAUUGAGAGAUUUAGUGUGUUCACAAAAAUAGUUGUAGCUAGUAUACUUAUGCAAAGAGUGAAUCGGGAUACUUUUUUGCGGCUUAUAAUUGCAAUCAUUUUAGAAUAUAUGUUUCUGUUUCUGUAGUUUUCCUGGUCAGCUUUCAUUUCCUGUUAAUUUUCACAAUGUUGUGAUGUGAUUGAAAUGACUUACAUGAGAGCAUACAUCAGUUAAAAUUGUAUUUUUCCAGGGGGAUUCAUUUAGAUGACUUUAGAGUAGUUAUCUAUCUUGAUGAAUGAUUCCAAGAAAUAAUCAUUCAAAUAUUUAUCCAGUUUCAACACCAAAUUUAUUCAAAAUCUAAUUCCACCAACCAUUCUUCUUACUCUAUAUUUCUGUUAACACGCUGUUUUUAUUUAUUUUGAAUAAAAUAAAUGUUGAGUGUUUUGGUAUAAAUACA
RNAcentral lists this long non-coding RNA (2179 nucleotides) under Anas platyrhynchos platyrhynchos (common mallard). RNAcentral describes it as "lncRNA (ENSAPLG00000020485.1)". The record is from RNAcentral. Lineage: Eukaryota; Metazoa; Chordata; Aves; Anseriformes; Anatidae.